GACGAAGGAUGCAAGCGUUAUCCGGAUUCAUUGGGUUUAAAGGGUGCGUAGGCGGCCUGAUAAGUCAGUGGUGAAAUCUCCUCGCUUAACGAGGAAACUGCCAUUGAUACUGUCGGGCUUGAGUACAGAUGCUGUGGGCGGAAUAUGACAUGUAGUGGUGAAAUACAUAGAGAUGUCAUAGAACACCGAUUGCGAAGGCAGCUCACAAAACUGUAACUGACGCUGAGGCACGAAAGUGCGGGGAUCAAACAGG
This 253-nucleotide ribosomal RNA is filed under the name uncultured bacterium. RNAcentral's name for it is "partial 16S ribosomal RNA". It matches the Rfam family "Bacterial small subunit ribosomal RNA", at positions 524 to 776 of the family's 1533-position model. The record is from RNAcentral.